RNAcentral lists this small nucleolar RNA (100 nucleotides) under Mytilus galloprovincialis (Mediterranean mussel). Lineage: Eukaryota; Metazoa; Mollusca; Bivalvia; Mytilida; Mytilidae. The record is from RNAcentral.
UGGUGAUGAUGAUACAACAACCAUUCAUUCGCGGUUUCCACCAGAGGACAUGCCUGUUGUCUAUGUGAUGGUUUUAGCCCUUCCUUGGAAGUCUGAAUCA